AUUGAACGUUGGCGGCAGGCCUAAUACAUGCAAGUCGAACGGCAGCACAGAGAGCUUGCUCUUGGGUGGCGAGUGGCGGACGGGUGAGUAACGCGUAGGAAUCUACCCAGUAGCGGGGGAUAGCCCGGGGAAACCCGGAUUAAUACCGCAUACGCCCCACGGGGGAAAGGCCGGGAUCUUCGGACCGGUCACUAUUGGAGGAGCCUGCGUUGGAUUAGCUUGUUGGUGGGGUAAAGGCCUACCAAGGCUGCGAUCCAUAGCUGGUCUGAGAGGACGAUCAGCCACACUGGAACUGAGACACGGCCCAGACUCCUACGGGAGGCAGCAGUGGGGAAUAUUGGACAAUGGGCGAAAGCCUGAUCCAGCCAUGCCGCGUGAGUGAUGAAGGCCUUAGGGUUGUAAAGCUCUUUCAGUGGGGAAGAUAAUGACGGUACCCACAGAAGAAGCCCCGGCUAACUUCGUG
This 463-nucleotide ribosomal RNA is filed under the name uncultured bacterium. RNAcentral's name for it is "bacterial SSU rRNA". It matches the Rfam family "Bacterial small subunit ribosomal RNA", at positions 30 to 507 of the family's 1533-position model. The record is from RNAcentral.